This 816-nucleotide long non-coding RNA is filed under the name Nicotiana benthamiana. RNAcentral's name for it is "long non-coding RNA (NBEN_LNC029226)". The record is from RNAcentral. Lineage: Eukaryota; Viridiplantae; Streptophyta; Magnoliopsida; Solanales; Solanaceae.
GUUACUGAAAAACCCAACAAAACGGCUAUAAAAGCAGAGACUUCGUCAUCUUCAAUUCCUCAUUCUUUCACUCCUAAACUCUAUUUCCUGCUUCUUAAUUUCUCUGUUUAUUAUAUCAAUAUAAAUCAGAGGAAUAUGGCAACAUUAAAAAUCUUGAAACUUACCUUGUUCACCAUUUUCACUCUGAUUUAUUUAGUAGCUACUAAAACCACAGCUCAAGAAGGCGAUUUUGCUCCGGCGCCGGCUCCGGGAAUGGACGCCGGAGCUGGGUUUCAUGACACUUUGUCAAGUGCCUUGAUUUGUUCUUCUCUCUUCUUAUCUUUUAUCGGUUUCCUCUUGUAUUAAUUUUAUUUGAACACCAGUGGAGUAUUAUAUUUUAAUUUAGUUUUUGGGCCUUCAUAUUAUUAGCUGAGGUCAUAAGGUAUCUGUUUCUUGUACUGCUGUGAUGUAUGGGUAUGGAUUAUCUUUAUCCAAUUUCCUUAAUAUUAUUAGCUGAGGUCUUAAGGUAUCUGUUUCAUGUACUGCUGUGCUGUAUGGGUAUGGAUUAUCUUUAUCCAAUUAAGAUGAGUAAAUUUUAUUUUGUUUUAGAUUUUCCCAUUGCUCUGUUUCCCAAUAAUUGGAAUGUAGCGUGCAAAGGAAAUUCAGAGUAUUUUUUAUUAUGUAACCUUUUACCUAUUGCAGAUUGAAUGUCAACAUUUCGUAUGAUUGAGCACUGAAUAUUUUUAAAAAAGAAAUAAUUAAAAGAAGAAAACCGUUGAGAGUUUAGAUCAAAUCAUCUUGAAAUAAAAUAUUCUCUUGAACACUAUUAUAUUUUGA